UGCCUGCCCAGUGAACCUGUUUUAACGGCCGCGGUAUCCUAACCGUGCAAAGGUAGCGUAGUCAUUUGUUCUUUAAUUAAGGACCAGUAUGAACGGCUACAUGAGGGCCUAACUGUCUCCUAUGGCCAACCAAUGAACCUGAUCUUUCAGUACAAAAGCUGGAAUAAAUACAUAAGACGAGAAGACCCUGCGGAGCUUCAAACAGCCCCUAAAACCCUUU
RNAcentral lists this ribosomal RNA (220 nucleotides) under Uroplatus fiera. RNAcentral describes it as "partial 16S ribosomal RNA". It matches the Rfam family "Archaeal large subunit ribosomal RNA", at positions 1948 to 2201 of the family's 2987-position model. The record is from RNAcentral. Lineage: Eukaryota; Metazoa; Chordata; Lepidosauria; Squamata; Gekkonidae.